GGGGGCGACAGGUUUCGACGGCGCGUGGAGUGCCUGACAGAGCAGGUCGAGUUACGUCCGUAAUCCUCGUUAAACAUUCGGGCAGACGAAUAAACGUCGAUAACGAUUACGCAUUGGCGGCUUAGGCCUGCCACGUCGAAGGAUGAGCUCGUCUGUUGGCUCGCCGGAGACGUCAUUUUAGACAGAUGCUUCGCUCACAGUCGGAUCUUGCUGGAGUGAAAAAGACAAGAGGUCUUGGAAAAAGGAAGGCCGUUUUCUGCCUCACCUUUGACGACAAUUAAAAGAAAACUAAGCCUGUAGCGCUGUCACGCUGGCCCACGUCGGACGGGGGUUCAAUUCCCCCCGCCUCCACCA
This 354-nucleotide transfer-messenger RNA is filed under the name Fretibacterium fastidiosum. RNAcentral describes it as "Standard tmRNA". It matches the Rfam family "transfer-messenger RNA". From Rfam's summary of the family: Bacterial tmRNA, also known as 10Sa RNA or SsrA, is named for its dual tRNA and mRNA-like properties. Its role is to liberate the mRNA from a stalled ribosome. Lineage: Bacteria; Thermotogati; Synergistota; Synergistia; Synergistales; Aminobacteriaceae. The record is from Rfam by way of RNAcentral.